UGGCUCAGUGGUAGAGCGCUUGCCUUGCAUGCAUGAAGGUCCUGGGUUUGAUUCCCCAG
RNAcentral lists this transfer RNA (59 nucleotides) under Dipodomys ordii (Ord's kangaroo rat). It matches the Rfam family "tRNA", at positions 8 to 63 of the family's 71-position model. Rfam says of the family: Transfer RNA (tRNA) molecules are approximately 80 nucleotides in length. Their secondary structure includes four short double-helical elements and three loops (D, anti-codon, and T loops). Lineage: Eukaryota; Metazoa; Chordata; Mammalia; Rodentia; Heteromyidae. The record is from Rfam by way of RNAcentral.